UACGUAGGGGGCGAGCGUUGUCCGGAGUUAAUGGGCGUAAAGCGCACGCAGGCGGUCCAUCGCGUUGGGGGUGACAGCUCUCGGCUAAACCGAAAGAGUGCCUUCAAAACGGAUGGACUUGAGGCAUCGAGAGGGACACGGAAUUCCGGGUGGAGUGGUGAAAUGCGUAGAGAUCCGGAAGAACACCAAAGGCGAAGGCAGUGUCCUGGCGAUGAUCUGACGCUCAGGUGCGAAAGCUAGGGGAGCGAACAG
Molecule: ribosomal RNA, 252 nt
Filed under: uncultured bacterium
Lineage: Bacteria
Description: partial 16S ribosomal RNA
Rfam family: Bacterial small subunit ribosomal RNA
Source: RNAcentral